RNAcentral lists this ribosomal RNA (493 nucleotides) under uncultured bacterium. RNAcentral describes it as "bacterial SSU rRNA". It matches the Rfam family "Bacterial small subunit ribosomal RNA", at positions 29 to 507 of the family's 1533-position model. The record is from RNAcentral.
AACGAACGCUGGCGGCGUGCUUAACACAUGCAAGUCGAACGCGAAAGUUUUCUUCGGAAAACGAGUAGAGUGGCGCACGGGUGAGUAACGCGUAAGUUAUCUACCCUCCCAUCUGGAAUAACUCACCGAAAGGUGUGCUAAUACCGGAUACGUUGGAAACAAGAAAGGUGGCCUCUAUUUAUAAGCUACCGUGGGGGGAUGAGCUUGCGUACCAUUAGCUAGUUGGUAGGGUAAUGGCCUACCAAGGCAACGAUGGUUAGCGGGUCUGAGAGGAUGAUCCGCCACACUGGAACUGGAACACGGACCAGACUCCUACGGGAGGCAGCAGUGAGGAAUAUUGCGCAAUGGGGGAAACCCGUGACGCAGCGACGCCGCGUGGAUGAUGAAGGGCCCUUGGGGUCGUAAAAUCCUGGUCAGUUGGGAAGAAAUGCAUAUUGGCCAAUACCCAUUAUGUUUGACGGUACCAGCAAAGGAAGCACCGGCUAACUCCGUG